UUAUAAUGUGACCUGGUGACACAGAACAGAAUCUCCUUAAACAAAUGUGCUUUCUACUAGUUCAAGCAAUGUCUUGAACGCACCUGUGCAUCAAGUAUCCUGACGCCGUAGAAGAGCCAGUAGGACAUGGUGAGGAGAAGGGUGAGCGUGGUGAGGAAGGCCCGACACGCGCACACCCUCGGCAGGCUGGCACGGGCCGGCCGCAGAAACAAGGCCCAGAUGGCGGUGAGGAGCAUGAGAAGCUUGAAGGACAGCGACAGGAAAAGUCCCUCGCAGGCGGCGCCGCACGGCUGCAGUCUCUCAGGCCACACGAUGACAGGUAGAAGCAGGAAAACCAGAGGGGUGGCCAGCACCAGCAGGCCCCCGCACACACCCACAGCGAGGGGGAGAUAGCGGCGGAAGCUUCUGGUCCGGUCCUGUAUGCCCUUUCCCAAGCCGACCACUUCCUCCUGGGAGAUGCUGAGCUCCGAAGUGCCCGUCACCGCCGUGGUGGUCUCUCCCCAGUUAUCAUCCUGCAGAGAAUCUUGGACUUUCAUAAUGGGAAGUCUUCAAACACGCUUUGAUGUAAUGUAGGAUGGCACGCAUGCAUGCAGUGGGACGCACACGCUGACGUGAGGAUCCGACGCCGCCGGCAUGGGCUCUCCUGGCAAUGGCUCGCCGUUGUGCACCGGAGAAUCCUGGGAGGACGUCUCUGGAGGAUUAAUGAUGACGGACUUUUCCGAGCGGCUGCUGUCUUUACUGCUGCUAGCCUUGUGGCGCUCUCGACCUCGCUCGCUGGAUGAAAGACACGUACAGAAGAGCACGUGAGGUCAAGGAAAUGUCAACACAAGCGUGGGACACAGCAUUAGGUACGCCUGCACAAACUAAUGACUUCCGCUACAAGACAAGUGGGUUUUGAAGCCUUUCAUCAGUUUAUGGGUUGUGUCAACACCUCGGACAAAAUAAUUGCAGACAUGGAACGUUCUCGUCAAGGGGAUCAUGUAUUAAGAGUUGUGUGGAUUUCCUACUAAAAAUUGCCGCUCGUUCAAAUACAGAAAAUAUUGUACGCAAAAAAAAAUUCAGAUGAUGCACGCACAAAUCCAUUUCUUUGUCACAUUGCAAAUUAACCUGGAAUUCCGGGAUCCCGGACGUCUGGCAUGUUUAUAUUAAAAAGAUUGCAAACCAAACAAUACAUGAUUUUUGCAUUGAAAAUUCUAAUAUAAACCCCUAUUAAUACGCAAUUCCUAUUUAAAGUAGUCAUGUGCCUGAGAUCUACACACCCUGCCCAAUCAAAAUCUAGCAAACUAUCGUUGUUGUACCUCCAAAAACUAAACAGGCUGAAAUCCUUUGAUUUCAGGGGGGCGGCAUAGCUUGGUUGGUAGAGUGGCCGUGCCAGCAACUUGAGGGUUGCAGGUUCGAUUCCCGCUCCCGCCAUUCUAGUCACUGCCGUUGUGUCCUUGGGCAAGGCACUUUACCCACCUGCUCCCAGUGCCACCCACACUGGUUUAAAUGUAACUUAGA
Long non-coding RNA from Nerophis ophidion (straightnose pipefish), 1500 nucleotides. RefSeq lists it as uncharacterized. The record is from RefSeq and is a predicted model, not a curated record. NCBI's taxonomy places the organism in Eukaryota, Metazoa, Chordata, Actinopteri, Syngnathiformes, Syngnathidae. The transcript has 4 exons.